AACCUGCCCACUGAAAAUUUUAAAUGGCCGCAGUAUUUUGACUGUGCAAAGGUAGCAUAAUCAUUAGUCUUUUAAUUGAAGGCUGGAAUGAAUGGUUGGCCGAAAUAUUAACUGUUUCAUAUUAAAUUAUAAUAAAAUUUUAUAUUUUAGUAAAAAAGCUAAGAUAUUAUUAAAAGACGAGAAGACCCUAUAAAUCUUUAUAUUUACUGAGUUUAUAAAAAUUAGAAAUUAAAUUUUAUUUAUUUAUAUAAAUAUUUUAUUGGGGUGAUAUUAAAAUUUAAUUAACUUUUAUUUAUUUAUACAUUAAUUUAUGAUUUUUUGAUCUUUUAAUAUUGAUUAAUAGAAUAAGUUACUUUAGGGAUAACAGC
Molecule: ribosomal RNA, 368 nt
Filed under: Melophagus ovinus
Lineage: Eukaryota; Metazoa; Arthropoda; Insecta; Diptera; Hippoboscidae
Description: partial large subunit ribosomal RNA
Source: RNAcentral